Molecule: long non-coding RNA, 4439 nt
Filed under: Homo sapiens (human)
Lineage: Eukaryota; Metazoa; Chordata; Mammalia; Primates; Hominidae
Description: non-protein coding lnc-PXDC1-15:6
Source: RNAcentral
GUUUAAAGUGCAUAGGGAGAGAUUGUUUUCUUUCCCCCUCCUUGCACCUAGCAGGGAGAGGAGUGUGCGGAAAGAUGGAGUUGAGACAGAAACUUGUUAGCAUAACACCGAAGGAGUUUUGCUGUGAGUAGCAUCAGCAUAGCAGGAGAACAUCCCUAGCUCUCCUGCCGCUGCUCUGCCACAAGGAGAGAAAGGGAAAAGCAAAUUCAGCAGGACCUCUAGGACUUUGCUGUAGAUCUCCAGGUGGAGCCAGGACCCUCCAGGAGAACUGAUGGCUAGAAAAGACUGCAAGUAAUGUGGAGGAAGGAAGAAGAGAGAGAGCAGAGAGAGAUGAUUCUUGCAAACAUUGAUCUGUGUAGAGCGGAUGUCAACUUGAUGGGAUAAGACCUGGGUUGACUUGGUAUCUGGGUUCAGGUCAGCAAACUCUAACGGCAUUUCCUUCUACUAGCAGACAGAUCUGCUCAUCCUGCGACAUUGUGGACAGUGCUGAAUGGCUUCCAGAACAUUCCUCUUAUGUCUACUGGUUAAACUUUGAAGCAUCUGAACCAUUUGGGAGAGCAGGGACCCCCAUGAACAGGAGAUACUGGAGGUGUCUGAGGCCACUUCAUGCCCUUUCUCAAGAGUGGCCUGCAGGUCUUUCAGCCACUGGCCACUGAAGUCCAGCUCCUGCCAGCCAUGGAUUUGGGCACUGGGCUCCAGUGUUGAGAAAGUUCUUGACUUCCAGCGCUUGUUUUCCUAGUGGACAAUAGGAGUCAGAGACAGAGAGGGAGAGUGAAGAUGCAGAAGACAUAUCCUUUCCAUUGUGACCCAGAUAAGAAUGUAGCCGGUGAGCUUGCUUCCUGUCACUCAUUUCCCAGCUAUUUAGGAAACAAGAAAAAAGCCUGCCAUGCAGAAAGUCACUGAGAAACCUGCUGGCCUCCAUGGUGGCACGUGGGGGAGGGAGGAGAAGAAAACUCCUGAAAGAAUGUGGACCACACAGCAUGCUCUGGUGGGUAUGUGGGCUGACAAAGAACAGGGAGCGCUAACAGUGAAAAUGAAGAGCCUGCCCCGCCUCCCAGCGUGGACCUUGACCUGGGGCCAGACCAAGGCCACUUUAUAGAAACGUCCCUGGAGCGUGUCUCAGGUGGCCCUGCCUGCAUCCUGGCCUACCUCUGGGGCCCUUCUUACCCACAGUCCUACUUUCCACCCACCUUGACCCCAAGAGGUGUUCAUUUAUAACGCCCCUGCAUCUUCUCAACUUCAAAGUCAGCUCGGACCUCGUUCACCCAGACAAGACCUUGGCUGAGUCUUGACAAACUGGCACAGGGUCCCCCGACAGAAGACAGCUUUCCUUUCUCUUUGCUUUCCUUUAUCUUAGCCGAGUCCGGCCUCCCCAGCACUCUUUUCCAUCUGGGGACAGUUCGUGCUGGUGGGAAUUGGCAGGGGCACACGGUCCAGACAGAGACAACUGAAACACAGGUGUCCCGCUGGUGUGCCAGCAGGGCGGCCGUCCUACCAGGAGCAGGACACUUUGUUGGCCACUGCCCAUGCAAUAAUCAGCGUGGGACAAACAGUCCCAUGGGGAGUGAGGUGAUGUGAAGAAAAGGAAGCCGAAGAAGAGAAGAAGCUGAAGGGCCAGUAAACACACACAUAGACGCUCACCCUCCCCUUCGUUGGAAAAAUGAACGGCUGCUGUUGCCGAGGGCUGGUGAGGAUGAGGCCCCAGGCCUGCAGGAGGGCACAUCCGGUUGGCCGCCUCGACGGGGCCAUCUGGGUAGCUGCUGCCCUUUGCAUGUAAAUAAAGCUCCUCAAAGCCCCAUUUCACAACUGCUGGGAGAAACAGCAUCCUUCCCUCCUUCCCUAUAUUUCCAGGGAGGAGGUGGCUGGUUUUUUUUGUUGUUGUGUUUUUUUUGUUUGUUUGUUUUGUUUUGUUUUGUGGACCCAGAGCCAUCAGCUGCUUCCUGGGGGAAGUGGUGGUGGCUGGGGAGGGGGAUCGUGAUUCUGCUGCAGGAUAAUUGCCAAGGACAGAGGGAGGGCUGUGUUCUCCUGCCUGAAGAUGGAAGUAAAGGAACAUUUUAACUGGGCAAAACCCUUCAAUCCUAGCCCAGCUGAGCAGGGAGUUGGUUUUCGAAAGCAGAGCUAUACGGACAGCCCCUGUGCCGGAUAUGACCUCCUAUAUUAAGAAAAAGUGGAAAAAACAGAACUGAAAGGAGUAGAGAUCUUCCUACAGUGCCAAGGCAGGCUUUAAGUCAGCUUUAGAAAUAAAUCAGCUGUGAGCAAAUAACACCUCGCACAGUGCUCGGUCCUCAGCAACUACUCAGUUAAAGUCUGUUGAACGGAUCAGGGAUAACUGAACUCAGGAAUCUAAGGAAUAAGCAUGAUAUAAUUAAUUGCAGCUCUGGUCUUAAGAUUUCCUUGGGUUUCACCCCUGGCUGAGAUGAUACCACAAGGGAGCCUCUCUGUUGCCUCCCGCAGCCCUGCCCUGAGCUGAGACCCAUCUGUAGGGCGUCAGGGCAGGAGGCGGCUGCAGCUUUCCCCAAAGAUGAGUGAGCUCACGCCACAGCUUGGAGAAAGGAGGCACGAGCACAGUCAUGUUACCGAGGCCAGGGCAGGGCUGAAGCCCCCCUCUCUCCAUAGCCGUGUCUUACUAUGACAAGGAACAAGUUUUUUCUCCACUUUUCCCUCCACUCCUAGGUUCAGGUCAACAUGAGGGUGACCAUCGCCAGGGUCAGUGCAUUUGGUAGGAGACCAGGGACCGUUUCUGGGAAUGUCAGGAAUCUUGUCUUUCAAAUGCUCACUUCACUUCACAGCCCCUGCGAGUGCCCUGAACCUUUGCAAGGUAUGUUCUAAGAAAGGGAACAAGGCCGGGCGCGGUGGCUCACGCCUGUAAUCCCAGCACUUUGGGAGGCUGAGACGGGUGGAUCACGAGGUCAGGAGAUUGAGACCAUCCUGGCUAACAUGGUGAAACCCCGUCUCUACUAAAAAUACAAAAAAUUAGCCAGGCAUGGUGGCGGGUGCCUGUAGUCCCAGCUACUCGGGAGGCUGAGGCAGGAGAAUGGCGUGAACCCGGGAGGCAGAGCUUGCAGUGAGCCAAGAUCGCGCCACUGCACUCCAGCCUGGGUGACAGAGCGAGACUCCAUCUCAAAAAAAAAAAACUUUCCCUCAUCAACUAUUUGAUGAUGUAAGGUGCAGUUUAUAUAAAGCCAGAUACAUGCUGGAUUCUUUUCCCUUACUGACCAGUUUUUAAAACGAGUUGGUUUCCUAGUCUCCUGCAACCAGUGAUUUUGAUACAGAAUGGUUGGGCUCCUGGCUAAACCCCACCCUUGGGCCUGGAGCCGCAGCCCUAAGUGAAAACAGCUGACCCCGUUUUCCACCCAAAUGUUGCCUUUUUGGCCUGCCAUGCCCCUAUCCUGUGCCCAUAAAAAGACUUCAGCUGGCAGAGCAACACAAGCGGCUGAUGCAAGGGGUCGGGGAUGCAAGCUGCUGAACGUAGGGGAUGCAAGCGGCUGAGCAUCAGAGACUACAGAUAGACGCAGCUAACCUCAGACGGUGCAGCUUCAGGGAAAGAUCACCUUCUUCCCGCACCAUCCCCUUUCCAAUUCCCCAUUCUGCUGAGAGCCACAUCCAUCGACCAAUAAAAUCCUCUGCAUACACUACCCUUCAAUCUGUUCCUGUGACCUAAUUCUUCCUGGACACCAAACAAGAACCUGGGUGCCGAGAGGGCAAGGGCUUGGAUGCUGCUGUGGGGCCUGCGCAGAGUCUGCUCUCAUCAGAGAGGAGCGACCAGCUGUUUCCAGCAUUUGUUCCCUCCAGUUCCAGCACUCACCUGCUCACACGCUCCCUCUCGCGAGGAGUGGCCAGCAGCGGGCUGAGUGAAAUGCGCCACUCCAGUUCCCGCCUACAAAGCAUGUCAAGGUCAAGGGAACAAUCCCGUCUCAAUUUGUUGCAGUAGAUAUUGCUCUUGGUUUUGAGUAUCGGUAUGAAGGAAUGGACUUAAACAGAGGAAUGUGUUUUCUUCCGUUGCUAUUUGUGUUCUUAUUGAUGCUCAAGUGGUCACAUUUUCAGCAAGAGGCAGCCUUAGCAAUGUAACAUGAAUGAUGGCUUUGAUUUACGUAGUGAUGAAAGUGAUGUGUGGUUGUGUAGACAUCAUCUAUGAUGAUCUCAUCCAGAAGGGCCCUCAGUGACAGCCUCUCAUGUGUAAGGGACUGGCCAGAUCCCAUGCCACAAGGAAUUUCUUUAUGGCCUCAUCACCUAUUUGUCUGCUUCAUUCACACAAGUGUGGUUCAGAUGAAUGAAUAAAUGGAUGGGUAAACUUCUGUAGGCCACCAGGCAAAAGUUACAUUAUGUCAACUGCUCCUGAAUACAUGUGGUAUAACAACCAUUGGUAGUCUUCAUAAGACACUAAGCUGAGGCAGUGAGGUAGAAGUGGCAGGCAGGAAGAGGGUAAAAAUAUGUAUUGA